Non-coding RNA from Triticum aestivum (bread wheat), 124 nucleotides. The record is from Rfam. Lineage: Eukaryota; Viridiplantae; Streptophyta; Magnoliopsida; Poales; Poaceae.
GAUGUACUUCCUCCGUCCGGAAAUACUUGUCGAAAAGAUAGAUAAAAUGGUCGUAUUUAGAAUUAAAAUAUGUCUAGAUACAUCCAUUUCUUCGACAAGUAUUUUCGGAUGGAGGGAGUAUGUA